GUGCAUGGCCGUUCUUAGUUGGUGAAGUGAUUUGUCUGGUUAAUUCCGAUAACGAAUGAGACUCUAACUAGCAUGCUAACUCGUUAUGUGACCCCCAAGCGCUUAAUAAUUGUUUUCCAACUAUUGAAGUUGGUCUAAUAAAAGAUAUCAGAUUC
RNAcentral lists this non-coding RNA (155 nucleotides) under Alligator mississippiensis (American alligator). Its description in RNAcentral is "Eukaryotic small subunit ribosomal RNA". It matches the Rfam family "Eukaryotic small subunit ribosomal RNA", at positions 1280 to 1410 of the family's 1831-position model. The record is from Rfam by way of RNAcentral. Lineage: Eukaryota; Metazoa; Chordata; Crocodylia; Alligatoridae.